Molecule: long non-coding RNA, 386 nt
Filed under: Ananas comosus (pineapple)
Lineage: Eukaryota; Viridiplantae; Streptophyta; Magnoliopsida; Poales; Bromeliaceae
Description: long non-coding RNA (ACOM_LNC009147)
Source: RNAcentral
GAAUGACAUAAAUAAAAAAGGAGGGUAAUAGUCUCUUGCUCAGAAUGACAUAAAAGGUACAUAUUGUUGUUGGAUGUGGCCUGCGUGAUUUAUUCAAGAUGAUCCAUAAAAAUACAGUCGAUCAAAUGGUUAGGAUGCAUAUGGGCACCAGUAUUUAGAAAUCGAAAUUAUAGUAAUCGACGGUACGUCCCUAGCGCAAGUGGCAAAGAGCUUGGUGGUUGGUACCCGAGGUCUCAAAUUCGAAUCCUAAUUGAUUCACAUUACUCGCUAAGUUUAUUUUUAAAUAAAGUAAACGAGAUGGAUAGCGUGUUACCUAUCUCUCUCUCUAAAAAAAAAAAAAAAAAAUCAUAGUUGAAGGUACAAUUUUAAUUUUUGUAUGGUCUAAC